RNAcentral lists this ribosomal RNA (1515 nucleotides) under Limosilactobacillus fermentum. Its description in RNAcentral is "bacterial SSU rRNA". It matches the Rfam family "Bacterial small subunit ribosomal RNA". The record is from RNAcentral. Lineage: Bacteria; Bacillati; Bacillota; Bacilli; Lactobacillales; Lactobacillaceae.
CUGGCUCAGGAUGAACGCCGGCGGUGUGCCUAAUACAUGCAAGUCGAACGCGUUGGYCYAAUUGAUUGAYGGUGCUUGCACCUGAUUGAUUUUGGUYGCCARCGAGUGGCGGACGGGUGAGUAACACGUAGGUAACCUGCCCAGAAGCGGGGGACAACAUUUGGAAACAGAUGCUAAUACCGCAUAACARCGUUGUUCGCAUGAACAACGCUUAAAAGAUGGCUUCUCGCUAUCACUUCUGGAUGGACCUGCGGUGCAUUAGCUUGUUGGUGGGGUAAYGGCCUACCAAGGCGAUGAUGCAUAGCCGAGUUGAGAGACUGAUCGGCCACAAUGGGACUGAGACACGGCCCAUACUCCUACGGGAGGCAGCAGUAGGGAAUCUUCCACAAUGGGCGCAAGCCUGAUGGAGCAACACCGCGUGAGUGAAGAAGGGUUUCGGCUCGUAAAGCUCUGUUGUUAAAGAAGAACACGUAUGAGAGUAACUGUUCAUACGUUGACGGUAUUUAACCAGAAAGUCACGGCUAACUACGUGCCAGCAGCCGCGGUAAUACGUAGGUGGCAAGCGUUAUCCGGAUUUAUUGGGCGUAAAGAGAGUGCAGGCGGUUUUCUAAGUCUGAUGUGAAAGCCUUCGGCUUAACCGGAGAAGUGCAUCGGAAACUGGAUAACUUGAGUGCAGAAGAGGGUAGUGGAACUCCAUGUGUAGCGGUGGAAUGCGUAGAUAUAUGGAAGAACACCAGUGGCGAAGGCGGCUACCUGGUCUGCAACUGACGCUGAGACUCGAAAGCAUGGGUAGCGAACAGGAUUAGAUACCCUGGUAGUCCAUGCCGUAAACGAUGAGUGCUAGGUGUUGGAGGGUUUCCGCCCUUCAGUGCCGGAGCUAACGCAUUAAGCACUCCGCCUGGGGAGUACGACCGCAAGGUUGAAACUCAAAGGAAUUGACGGGGGCCCGCACAAGCGGUGGAGCAUGUGGUUUAAUUCGAAGCUACGCGAAGAACCUUACCAGGUCUUGACAUCUUGCGCCAACCCUAGAGAUAGGGCGUUUCCUUCGGGAACGCAAUGACAGGUGGUGCAUGGUCGUCGUCAGCUCGUGUCGUGAGAUGUUGGGUUAAGUCCCGCAACGAGCGCAACCCUUGUUACUAGUUGCCAGCAUUAAGUUGGGCACUCUAGUGAGACUGCCGGUGACAAACCGGAGGAAGGUGGGGACGACGUCAGAUCAUCAUGCCCCUUAUGACCUGGGCUACACACGUGCUACAAUGGACGGUACAACGAGUCGCGAACUCGCGAGGGCAAGCAAAUCUCUUAAAACCGUUCUCAGUUCGGACUGCAGGCUGCAACUCGCCUGCACGAAGUCGGAAUCGCUAGUAAUCGCGGAUCAGCAUGCCGCGGUGAAUACGUUCCCGGGCCUUGUACACACCGCCCGUCACACCAUGAGAGUUUGUAACACCCAAAGUCGGUGGGGUAACCUUUUAGGAGCCAGCCGCCUAAGGUGGGACAGAUGAUUAGGGUGAAGUCGUA